RNAcentral lists this small RNA (27 nucleotides) under Bombyx mori (domestic silkworm). RNAcentral describes it as "ovarian small RNA-15464". Lineage: Eukaryota; Metazoa; Arthropoda; Insecta; Lepidoptera; Bombycidae. The record is from RNAcentral.
GACCAUUCCCAAAAAUCGCCUGAGUUG